Leopardus geoffroyi (Geoffroy's cat) is the source of this 1844-nucleotide long non-coding RNA. RefSeq lists it as uncharacterized. The transcript is spliced from 3 exons. The record is from RefSeq and is a predicted model, not a curated record. Lineage: Eukaryota; Metazoa; Chordata; Mammalia; Carnivora; Felidae.
GUGUGUUCUUCCGAUCUUUUUAAAUAAGCAGGUACCUUUUCUCAGAAUAUACUCUAUUAAAUAAAGUCAGUAGAUGUGUUCCUAGUUUCCCCAAUUUGGAGAUACUGCUCAUAUUGAUUUUGUAAGGCACACAUUUUUCAUAAAACUUUAAAUUUACUUGUCCUUUUCCUUCUUUCUUUCUUUCUUUCUUUCUUUCUUUCUUUCUUUCUUUCUUUCUUUCUUUCUUUCUUUCUUUCUUUCUUUCUUUCUUCUUUUUUUAAACUCAAGGUUUCGGCUUAAACAAACAAACCUGCUCACCAUUUGAUUCAGACAAGAUAACCCCAAGGGAAGGGUGGAUUCUGGAGUUAGCAAAGUGCUCCUUCAGCAUUUCCCUCAAUGAAUUCAGGGGUAUUCUAUGGCAAGGGUCCAAACAACACACGUGUGAUUAACCUUUGUGCUUCUCGGUUGAUAACCGCCUGGUCAUGGCGAUAACUAGGAUUAAAGGAGACAGAUGUGCCUCUAAACUCUAAUCUUGGUCUGGUAAAUGUUUUCUGGGCAUCAAAUCGUAUUCUUCAAAAAAAAAAAAAAAAAAAGUUGGUCAGGUAUUUUAACUCUCUCUUUAUUUUCUUUAACACUUUUUGCCUUUUCAGUCGCUCUUACGUAAUAUCUAUCGAGUACCUGCCCUGCAGUUAACAGUGGGCAGUGCCACGGUGUGCCAAGGAAGGAGGUGAGAGAGCUUACAGUUUUGCUGGGGAUUCACGAUAGACGCACGUAAGAAACAGCGAACGGAAUAGUGUUGCAUCCACCUGUGUGUGUUUGUCUCAUUGCGUGUAAGCACACGGUAACGUAAGUAAUACAAGCGUAAACAGACGCGGAUGCUAAGCGGUGUGGCACAAAGUUAGAAAACAGGCAAGAUGCAGUUAGGAAAUUAUGUGAAGGGACAGCAAGCCAAGGCAGUCGGCAGGUGUGUGAGUCAGGUUGUUGGGCAAGGCUGUGCUGCAGAAACCUCUGGAGGUGAACGUCUCUCUUUCUUUUGACAUAAUUAUGGAUUCACGGGAAGUAGCAAGAAUAGCACAGAGAGGCCUCGUGCGCCCUUCGCCGAGCUUCCCCUAAUGGUAACAGCUUACACGACUGUCUGUCGUACAAUAUCAAAACCGGCAUAUCCACAUUGGGACAAUCUACAGAUCCUUUCCGGUUUUCUGUGCGCAUACUCCUGUGGAACUGAGCUUUGAUAAAUGAAUUUCAAAAGACAAGAGGAAUGAGGAAAAACUGGAAGAACCAAAACCUCACAGGGCAGUUCCUUUGCAGAGAUGUCCUCGUUCUCUUUCCUUCCAGUGUGUAGGUAUGCCACAUGCCCCUUUGAACACUCACCGCCUGCCCCCCUUACCUCGCCCGCCCCAGCGGGCUUGCUGCUUCCUCUUCACAAAUGCUCCCCGAGCACUUCCUGCUGUGCUCUUACCCGCGGGUCCAAACGCAGGCAGUCUCCCUCCUAGAAGUCAUCCGCUGUGUGAGCUGGUUUGUAAAGAAGCGGUCUGGAACCCAGAACCGAUUUUCCCAUGGAGACCGAGGUACAGAGGUGAUGGGUUCCUGGCCUCUCUCCUGACCUGUGUCACUCAGGAUGGAAAUAGUCCUUAUUCGGAGCAGUGUCUGUCAUUGCUGCACAUGGUGGUUGUGUGCUCCCUGGGAGUCAGGGAGAGGGAUUCUCUGCUGUAUCAGACGGAUUCUUCUCUUAACAGGUCCCGUUUUGUAGCCACACUCUGCCACUGUGUGCAGUGGGUGAUGUUAAAGGGAACGCCCCUCCCCCCUUUUUAAAAUGUUUAUUCAUUUAUUUUGAGAGAGAGAGAGAGAGUGAGCCCUAGUUGGGG